CCUACGGGUGGCAGCAGUGAGGAAUAUUGGUCAAUGGCCGGAAGGCUGAACCAGCCAUGCCGCGUGAAGGUCAGUGCACUAUGGGCGUUAAACUUCUUUUGUGCGGGAGCAAUAAUGGUCACGUGUGGCCAGACGAGAGUACCGUACGAAUAAGCAUCGGAUAACUCCGUGCAAGCAGCCGCGGUAAUACGGGGGAUGCAAGCGUUAGACGGAUUUAUUGGGGUUAAAGGGUGCGUAGGCUGGUAGGUAAGGCAGCGGUGAAAUGCCCCCGCUCAACGGGGUGAAGUGCCAUUGAUACUGCCUUGCUGGAAUGCUGAUGCCGUGGGAGGAAUGUGUGGUGUAGCGGUGAAAUGCAUAGAUAUCACACAGAACACCGAUUGCGAAGGCAUCUCACGAAUCCGCGAUUGACGCUGAUGCACGAAAGCGUGGGUAUCAAACAGGAUUAGAUACCCCAGUAGUC
RNAcentral lists this ribosomal RNA (460 nucleotides) under uncultured bacterium. RNAcentral describes it as "partial 16S ribosomal RNA". It matches the Rfam family "Bacterial small subunit ribosomal RNA", at positions 338 to 795 of the family's 1533-position model. The record is from RNAcentral.